GAAUGUGGAACAAGAACUAGAUUUUAUAUAAAAGAGUUUAUUCCUUCUACUUGAGUUGUGACGUGAAGAAAAGUAAUGGAAAUCCUUCUGCCCUCCCAUUCUCAAGGGCUGGGGGAAUUCUAAUAUUGGAAUCAUUCAUUUAGGAAGCUUUUGUCUCAGAACUCCUGUGAUGCUCCCUGUACCUUGAAGUGAUUUUGGAAUUGCAUGGAAUUCUCACUGCCUUCCCAAAGAAAUGCUAAUUUGGCAUUCUUACCUGUUCCAUUCCCUGGGCAGAAGAAAAGGAUGCACUCCAAAGGUCGGAAAUGAUGUUGAUGGAAGACAACAACAUUUGCCACUUGGAAUUCUCACCUGCACACCAAAGAAGUACUGAUUUUGUCAUUUGCACCAGCUUCUUUCUCCAGGAAAGGUCAAAACAAUGCACUCCAAGGGUAACAUUCCAAUUUUUAAUACAUG
Long non-coding RNA from Cebus imitator (Panamanian white-faced capuchin), 453 nucleotides. RefSeq lists it as uncharacterized. NCBI's taxonomy places the organism in Eukaryota, Metazoa, Chordata, Mammalia, Primates, Cebidae. The record is from RefSeq and is a predicted model, not a curated record. The transcript is spliced from 3 exons.